This 124-nucleotide small RNA is filed under the name Salix viminalis (osier). It matches the Rfam family "5.8S ribosomal RNA", at positions 33 to 154 of the family's 154-position model. Rfam says of the family: 5.8S ribosomal RNA (5.8S rRNA) is a component of the large subunit of the eukaryotic ribosome. It is transcribed by RNA polymerase I as part of the 45S precursor that also contains 18S and 28S rRNA. Lineage: Eukaryota; Viridiplantae; Streptophyta; Magnoliopsida; Malpighiales; Salicaceae. The record is from RNAcentral.
UCGAUGAAGAACGUAGCGAAAUGCGAUACUUGGUGUGAAUUGCAGAAUCCCGUGAACCAUCGAGUCUUUGAACGCAAGUUGCGCCCGAGGCCUCCUGGUCGAGGGCACGUCUGCCUGGGUGUCA